This 254-nucleotide ribosomal RNA is filed under the name uncultured bacterium. RNAcentral's name for it is "partial 16S ribosomal RNA". It matches the Rfam family "Bacterial small subunit ribosomal RNA", at positions 524 to 776 of the family's 1533-position model. The record is from RNAcentral.
UACGUAGGGCGCAAGCGUUAUCCGGAAUUAUUGGGCGUAAAGAGCUCGUAGGCGGUGUGUCGCGUCGGCCGUGAAAACCUGCAGCUUAACUGUGGGCUUGCGGUCGAUACGGGCAUCACUGGAGUUCGGCAGGGGAGACUGGAAUUCCUGAUGUAGCGGUGAAAUGCGCAGAUAUCAGGAGGAACACCGAUAGCGAAGGCAGCUCGCUGGGACGGUACUGACGCUGAGGUGCGAAAGCGUGGGGAGCGAACAGG